This 476-nucleotide ribosomal RNA is filed under the name uncultured bacterium. Its description in RNAcentral is "bacterial SSU rRNA". It matches the Rfam family "Bacterial small subunit ribosomal RNA", at positions 28 to 526 of the family's 1533-position model. The record is from RNAcentral.
AAUGAACGUUGGCGGCGUGGAUUAGGCAUGCAAGUCGUACGGGCCGCAAGGCCAGUGGCGCAAGGGUGAGUAAGGCGACGGUAACCAACCCCAGGAUUGGGAAUAGCCGCGGGAAACCGCGGGUAAUCCCCAGCGACGUCCCCGGAGGGCAUCCCCCGGGGACCAAAGCUCCGGCGUCGUGGGACGGGCCGUCGUGGUAUUAGGUCGUUGGCGGGGUAACGGCCCACCAAGCCGGCGAUGCCUACCGGGCGUGCGAGCGUGGCCCGGCACACAGGGACUGAGACACUGCCCAGACUCCUACGGGAGGCUGCAGUCGAGAAUCUUCGGCAAUGGGCGCAAGCCUGACCGAGCGACGCCGCGUGGAGGACGAAGGCCUUCGGGUUGUAAACUCCUGUCGAGGGGGAAGAAGGCGCAAGCUUGACUGAACCCUGGAGGAAGCACGGGCUAAGUUCGUGCCAGCAGCCGCCGGGUAAAAC